CAUGCAGUCGAGCGGUAAGGCCUUUCGGGGUACACGAGCGGCGAACGGGUGAGUAACACGUGGGUGAUCUGCCCUGCACUUCGGGAUAAGCCUGGGAAACUGGGUCUAAUACCGGAUAUGACUUCCUGUUGCAUGGCUUGGGGUGGAAAGAUUUAUCGGUGCAGGAUGGGCCCGCGGCCUAUCAGCUUGUUGGUGGGGUAAUGGCCUACCAAGGCGACGACGGGUAGCCGACCUGAGAGGGUGACCGGCCACACUGGGACUGAGACACGGCCCAGACUCCUACGGGAGGCAGCAGUGGGGAAUAUUGCACAAUGGGCGAAAGCCUGAUGCAGCGACGCCGCGUGAGGGAUGACGGCCUUCGGGUUGUAAACCUCUUUCAGCAGGGACGAAGCGCAAGUGACGGUACCUGCAGAAGAAGCACCGGCUAACUACGUGCCAGCAGCCGGCGGU
Molecule: ribosomal RNA, 450 nt
Filed under: Rhodococcus sp. (in: high G+C Gram-positive bacteria)
Lineage: Bacteria; Bacillati; Actinomycetota; Actinomycetes; Mycobacteriales; Nocardiaceae
Description: bacterial SSU rRNA
Rfam family: Bacterial small subunit ribosomal RNA
Source: RNAcentral